This is a long non-coding RNA of Zingiber officinale, 1739 nucleotides long. RefSeq lists it as uncharacterized. Lineage: Eukaryota; Viridiplantae; Streptophyta; Magnoliopsida; Zingiberales; Zingiberaceae. The record is from RefSeq and is a predicted model, not a curated record. The transcript has 2 exons.
UAGUAGGAUAAGGCUUGGUUGUUGUUUUAUCAAUCAGCUAGCAAGUGCGAGGGCACAAGCUCGAAAAAGAUUUUAGUAUAAGCAUGUGUAUUAGCAAGUCAAAAUUGGAUUUAUAAUUUGGGCAUAAAACCAUCUUGCCUCUUCUAUAUGCCUCUUUGGAUAGAAGUGUUUAACAUCGCUAAAAUUUUGAUUUAGGCUGAGAUAAUAUUAAUACGCAUAUCAUGAUGAAAUAUUACAUAUUAACUUCUUGUCAAUAGUUUUAGGAAAAAUAUAAAAAGGGAAGUCCAGUGCACCCUCCAAUACUAGGUCCCGGGGAAAGGUCUAUUUGUACUCAGUCUUACCCUGCAUUACAAUAGGUUGUUUCUGUGACUCAAUUCCACGACUUUACUAUUGCACUAAUGCUCCCCUUAUUAAGGAAAAAUGUAGACGCCAACCUAAUUUAUGUGUUCUUCAAUGUUGGUACACAAACACAAAAACAACAAAAAUAAAAUCGGUAGAAACAAUAUUAGCUACCCUGCUAUUAUUGUAUUUAGGUGAAUGUUUUGGUGGGUUGGGAAAAACAUGGUUUGAUGACGAUGAUGAUAUGAUAUAAUUAUUUGGAAAAAAAUAACUGUGAUAGCAUUGCCUCUACAUGAGUGUUUCCCCCUGCUGCCAUACUAUAAAUUUAAAUUUUAUAACAAUCAAACAAGAAGAAUGAGAAGAGAAAAUGAAUAUAGGGAAUUAAUAAUUCAUUUUAAAUUACAAUUUUAAAUGAACUAAUGAAAUUCCUGAAAUACUGGUGAGAAAUGGAACAUAAAUUUUGGAGAGGGAGAAGAGGCCUAAACUUGGAAAUACUAUUUCAGCUAUAAAACCAGCCAUCUAGUGUUCUUUCCAGUGAUAGUCAAUUGGAAUGGUGCAUGGUUGCUUGUGGAUCCAUAUCGAGUAUAGCAUCGCUAGCCCAUGCAUGGGCAUGUGUCGGUAUUGGACCAAGAUUUUAAGCCAUGCUUGGACCCUGAUUUGGAAAAUUUCUGCUAGGACUGAAUCUUCAGGAUUAUGCCGAAAGGUUACUGAUGUCUGAUGUAUAAUUCAAUGUUAGAAUUACGAAACAAGUAUUUUCAUGAGUUCAACCUUCUUGACUGUUGUCAUCCUCUUAUGUAAUAUUUCCUCUCUAUUCUCAGAUUCUAUCUGUCAAAAUUAAUUAAGCAGAGCCUAGUCUAGGUGGGCUUGCGUCUUGCCGUCUUUUCCUUGCUGAUGUUGACGCCUUCCAUGGAACUGCUAAACUUCUUGAGAUAUGCAGUGACAUGAUUGUCAACAUUGAUUUGCAGGCUAAUGAGAUUAGAUGCUUGCUGUGUAGAAGAUGUUGACUGGGACAAUCUUCUUGAGCACAGACCCGGGGAUAUUUGCCGCAAGCGGUGGACUGAAAUGACGCGAUAUAUUAGCAAGAAUAAGGAGAAAUCUUUUAUCGAACAGGUGGAAGUGCUUUCGCAACACUAUUCAGAGAUGACGGAAUAUCGAAAGUGAAGUGACACUAUUCAGAGAUGACGGAAUAUCGAAAGUGAAGUGAUCCUCAUGAUGUAACUUUGUGCUUCCAAAUAGUUGAAAUGAAAUCGAGUUCUGUGUUUGUUUUUUUUUUUUCACAAGUCAUCACUGUGAGACUAAAUUGUGGUAUAACAGUGUGAUUCCUUAAGAAAAGAUUUGUAUUUAGGCAAACGAUAGCAAUAUAAAUGUGUCGAGCUUAGUUGCAUUCAAGUUUUUUUUAA